Molecule: ribosomal RNA, 253 nt
Filed under: uncultured bacterium
Lineage: Bacteria
Description: partial 16S ribosomal RNA
Rfam family: Bacterial small subunit ribosomal RNA
Source: RNAcentral
GACGUAGGGCGCAAGCGUUGUCCGGAUUUAUUGGGCGUAAAGAGCUCGUAGGCGGCUCGUUGCGUCGGCUGUGAAAACCCGCAGCUCAACUGUGGGCUUGCAGCCGAUACGGGCGGGCUGGAGUUCGGUAGGGGAGACUGGAAUUCCUGGUGUAGCGGUGAAAUGCGCAGAUAUCCGGAGGAACACCGGUGGCGAAGGCGGCUUCCUGGACCGACACUGACGCUGAGGCGCGAAAGCUAGGGGAGCAAACGGG